UCAGAACUCCGCAGUUAAGUGUGCUUGGGCGAGAGUUGUACUAGGAUGGGUGACCUCCUGGGAAGUCCUCGUGUCGCACCCC
RNAcentral lists this ribosomal RNA (82 nucleotides) under Arabis alpina (gray rockcress). Lineage: Eukaryota; Viridiplantae; Streptophyta; Magnoliopsida; Brassicales; Brassicaceae. The record is from RNAcentral.